AUCGAACGCUGGCGGCAGGCUUAACACAUGCAAGUCGAGCGGGGUGAUGGUGCUUGCACUAUCACUUAGCGGCGGACGGGUGAGUAAUGCUUAGGAAUCUGCCUAUUAGUGGGGGACAACAUCUCGAAAGGGAUGCUAAUACCGCAUACGUCCUACGGGAGAAAGCAGGGGAUCACUUGUGACCUUGCGCUAAUAGAUGAGCCUAAGUCGGAUUAGCUAGUUGGUGGGGUAAAGGCCUACCAAGGCGACGAUCUGUAGCGGGUCUGAGAGGAUGAUCCACCACACUGGGACUGAGACACGGCCCAGACUCCUACGGGAGGCAGCAGUGGGGAAUAUUGGACAAUGGGGGGGACCCUGAUCCAGCCAUGCCGCGUGUGUGAAGAAGGCCUUAUGGUUGUAAAGCACUUUAAGCGAGGAGGAGGCUCUUUUGGUUAAUACCCAAGAUGAGUGGACGUUACUCGCAGAAUAAGCACCGGCUAACUCUGUGCCAGCCGCCGCAGUAA
This 503-nucleotide ribosomal RNA is filed under the name uncultured bacterium. RNAcentral's name for it is "partial 16S ribosomal RNA". It matches the Rfam family "Bacterial small subunit ribosomal RNA", at positions 30 to 523 of the family's 1533-position model. The record is from RNAcentral.